Molecule: ribosomal RNA, 555 nt
Filed under: Rossellomorea vietnamensis
Lineage: Bacteria; Bacillati; Bacillota; Bacilli; Caryophanales; Bacillaceae
Description: bacterial SSU rRNA
Rfam family: Bacterial small subunit ribosomal RNA
Source: RNAcentral
GCUCCCUGAUAUCAGCGGCGGACGGGUGAGUAACACGUGGGUAACCUGCCUGUAAGACUGGGAUAACUCCGGGAAACCGGGGCUAAUACCGGAUAACUCAUUUCCUCGCAUGAGGAAAUGUUGAAAGAUGGCUUCGGCUAUCACUUACAGAUGGACCCGCGGCGCAUUAGCUAGUUGGUGAGGUAACGGCUCACCAAGGCAACGAUGCGUAGCCGACCUGAGAGGGUGAUCGGCCACACUGGGACUGAGACACGGCCCAGACUCCUACGGGAGGCAGCAGUAGGGAAUCUUCCGCAAUGGACGAAAGUCUGACGGAGCAACGCCGCGUGAGUGAUGAAGGUUUUCGGAUCGUAAAGCUCUGUUGUUAGGGAAGAACAAGUGCCGUUCGAAUAGGGCGGCACCUUGACGGUACCUAACCAGAAAGCCACGGCUAACUACGUGCCAGCAGCCGCGGUAAUACGUAGGUGGCAAGCGUUGUCCGGAAUUAUUGGGCGUAAAGCGCGCGCAGGUGGUUCCUUAAGUCUGAUGUGAAAGCCCACGGCUCAACCGUGGAGA